GACGUAGGGCGCGAGCGUUGUCCGGAUUUAUUGGGCGUAAAGAGCUCGUAGGCGGCUUGUCGCGUCGUCCGUGAAAACCUGCAGCUCAACUGCAGGCUUGCGGUCGAUACGGGCAGGCUAGAGUUCGGGUAGGGGGAGACUGGAAUUCCCGGUGUAGCGGUGAAAUGCGCAGAUAUCGGGAGGAACACCGGUGGCGAAGGCGGUUCUCUGGGCCUUCCUGACGCUGAGGAGCGAAAGCGUGGGGAGCGAACAGG
This 254-nucleotide ribosomal RNA is filed under the name uncultured bacterium. Its description in RNAcentral is "partial 16S ribosomal RNA". It matches the Rfam family "Bacterial small subunit ribosomal RNA", at positions 524 to 776 of the family's 1533-position model. The record is from RNAcentral.